RNAcentral lists this ribosomal RNA (482 nucleotides) under uncultured bacterium. RNAcentral's name for it is "bacterial SSU rRNA". It matches the Rfam family "Bacterial small subunit ribosomal RNA", at positions 28 to 481 of the family's 1533-position model. The record is from RNAcentral.
GACGAACGCNGGCGGCGUGCUUAACACAUGCAAGUCGAACGGAGCGAAUGAAAGCUUGCUUUUAUGAGCUUAGUGGCAAACGGGUGAGUAACACGUAGACAACCUGCCGAUCAGAUGGGGACAACAUUCCGAAAGGAAUGCUAAUACCGAAUGGUGUGCGGGGGAGGCAUCUCCCCCGCAUGAAAGAUGGCCUAUACAUGUAAGCUAUCACUGAUUGAUGGGUCUGCGUCUGAUUAGCUGGUAGGUAAGGUAACGGCUUACCUAGGCGACGAUCAGUAGCCGGUCUGAGAGGAUGAACGGCCACAUUGGGACUGAGACACGGCCCAGACUCCUACGGGAGGCAGCAGUGGGGAAUCUUCCGCAAUGGGCGCAAGCCUGACGGAGCAACGCCGCGUGAGUGAAGAAGGUCUUCGGAUCGUAAAGCUCUGUUGAAGGGGACGAACGUACGUAAGUNGAAUAAGCUUANGUAANGACGGUNCCUU